CUACACAAGCAUGUGGAAGUCAUCUUUGUCUCAGUCACAGUGCCAUUCAUAAAAGACCUCUGAUACCUCAAGCAUGACGGACCCUCUCUGAGUGUGCAUGGAUGAGAGGUUUGGGGUAGAGUAAUGACACGCCAGCUACAAGGUUUGGAAAUCACCUCUGGUUCCAUGGAAUGGUUUACAUCAGGAUUCCAAAGGCCCACUUCCACAACCCCAAACAGGAUAAGG
Molecule: long non-coding RNA, 225 nt
Organism: Alosa sapidissima (American shad)
Lineage: Eukaryota; Metazoa; Chordata; Actinopteri; Clupeiformes; Clupeidae
Exons: 3
Source: RefSeq, a predicted model, not a curated record